RNAcentral lists this ribosomal RNA (492 nucleotides) under uncultured bacterium. Its description in RNAcentral is "partial 16S ribosomal RNA". It matches the Rfam family "Bacterial small subunit ribosomal RNA", at positions 29 to 507 of the family's 1533-position model. The record is from RNAcentral.
AGUGAACGCUGGCGGUAGGCCUAACACAUGCAAGUCGAACGGCAGCACAGUAAGAGCUUGCUCUUACGGGUGGCGAGUGGCGGACGGGUGAGGAAUACAUCGGAAUCUACUUUUUCGUAGGGGAUAACGUAGGGAAACAUACGCUAAUACCGCAUACGACGUACGGGUGAAAGCAGGGGAUCUUCGGACCUUGCGCGAUUGAAUGAGCCGAUGUCGGAUUAGCUAGUUGGCGGGGUAAAGGCCCACCAAGGCGACGAUCCGUAGCUGGUCUGAGAGGAUGAUCAGCCACACUGGAACUGAGACACGGUCCAGACUCCUACGGGAGGCAGCAGUGGGGAAUAUUGGACAAUGGGCGCAAGCCUGAUCCAGCCAUACCGCGUGGGUGAAGAAGGCCUUCGGGUUGUAAAGCCCUUUUGUUGGGAAAGAAAAGCAGCAGGUUAAUACCCCGCUGUUCUGACGGUACCCAAAGAAUAAGCACCGGCUAACUUCGUG